ACAUCUCUACCAUACAUACAGUCUGCUCCCGCUAUCAGUGUCUUGGCUGGAAUGGGUCAAUCUACUUUUAGGCUGAUGUCAGGAGUCAAAGUAAAUUUCCAACAGGGCAUGCAGUACGUGUACGUAUGAGCGAUGUCGUCGACUUUCAUGUCAGUUUUGCGAGUGGCGACGAGCUCAAAAGGGAUACAGUUGUUACCGUGCAUAGCUGGAAGCACUUGCUGCACUGCAGAGCACCAGGACGGGGAUAGGGUCGACAGUCUGACACUGUGACAGUCGGACAGUGUGACACUGUGACACUGUGACAGUCUGGCCACACAGUUGCCAGAGUCUAUGUACAUUUUACAAUGAAGAAAUGUGAACACAGACACAUUCUCCAGCGAACGUGCGCAUGGAGUGAACUUGUUAAUACUCGUACUGUUAAAACGCAGCAUUUCCCUACAAGUUGACCCCACCAUGAAUACAUAAAUACUAUGCGUUGAGCAACCGAUUUAAAUGUAACUUUCUAUAAUUCAUGGCUGCUGUUACAAUUUGAUAAUAAUUUUAAAAUGCCUUUAAAUGGAGUCCCAAUAAUUGGCCAUAAUCAUCUGAUGCAUCACUGGUCAACACUCCCGAAUAUAAAGAUAUAAUCAUUUGUUAAUACGAGUAUUCAUAUAAUAAUCAUUAAAACGCAAUAAAUGCUUAACAUAUUGCAUUAAUUAUUUUUAAGCUUAAUAAAAAUUAAAU
Long non-coding RNA from Drosophila innubila, 723 nucleotides. RefSeq lists it as uncharacterized. The transcript has 5 exons. Lineage: Eukaryota; Metazoa; Arthropoda; Insecta; Diptera; Drosophilidae. The record is from RefSeq and is a predicted model, not a curated record.